ACACGAACUUAACCUCCAUCUCGUCUAGGUCGCCCCUUCGGCUCCGGAAACUAGAAAGGACCCUGACAGUUAUUUAUCUGUCCGUGAGCUACACCAGAUGAGGAAAGCAACGCUCAAAGAGGUUAUGUGGCUUUUUGAGAUCACACAGCAAGCCAGUGAAGACCCAGGUGUGGAACUAGUCUCUCCCCACCCGGUGUUCUUCCCAUUCUACCACAUCACCACCAGAGGCGUGCCCGAACUACCCACCGUGCCCCCAAAGAGCCAAUUCCAAGACUCUUGGAAGGUUACUGCUCUUCCAAGGUUGCUGCAACACACCCAUCGCAUCCUACCUCACAAAUAAAUGGCUAGGUGGAGCCCAUCAGCGAUUUCAUUUGGAAUCUCAACACGCUGCAUUGAUGAGCUUUUCCUUUUAGAACUAUAAAUAUUUACAAUAAUCGCUAUUUUGCUGUGAAUCAAUGUCUGUCAGGAAACUAGGGUUGUUCUGGUUGCUGACAAUAUUGGUUUCGCGCUGGGUUGCUUUCUUGCAGGUGCAUUUAAAUGUCAGUUAUUGAUUAGAAGAUGGAUUGUUCCUGGAUGUUGUGACCAAAACGAAUUUUGGAAAUGAAGCAAUUUAGAAUUUAUCUGAAAACCAAGUUGCCUCAGAAUAUUAACAAUGUCAAAAUAAAAAAAAAAAAGAAGUUGUGAGUUACGGGUGACGGUCCCGAGUUGGUUAUUUGGACAGCUAGGAUUUUCUCUAUUAUUCUCACGGCAUUUUCUUCCGUCUCUAUCCAAAGAAAAUUCACUGAACAUGUAUCAUUACUGAAAACUGGCCUGGCCACAAGCAUAUGGAAACAACAAAGACUCCCCUUUCUAGGGGACCACAUUUGCAAGUGGAGAGAUCAGUCCAUCCCAGCUCAGCCAUCACUCUGCUGGAUUUGCACAUUUUCAAUGAGCAAACAUCUUUCUUCUUCUCAUUUGCCAGUAAUAUCUCAAAAUGGCUUCAAUUAUUGAAGAAACACUAGUAGAAUUAAGUAUAAAUUGCUCAAAAUUAUAUAAUUAAUGGCACCCUACUUCCACAAUGGUUCCCAGAGGCGAUUAGCUUCCCAGCUGGCCCUUUGGUGGUAGUCAGCCCCUCGAGGCUGGCACGUGAAAGAAUUUGUGUCGAGAAGUUUAUCAGCGAACAUGAAAUGGCUUUUAGUUACAUAAAAAGUAAUCUCUGUAAUUGAAUAUAUUUGUGUCAAUAAUUUUAUAA
Long non-coding RNA from Neofelis nebulosa (Clouded leopard), 1231 nucleotides. RefSeq lists it as uncharacterized. NCBI's taxonomy places the organism in Eukaryota, Metazoa, Chordata, Mammalia, Carnivora, Felidae. The record is from RefSeq and is a predicted model, not a curated record. The transcript is spliced from 2 exons.